CGAAGGGGGGGGGUGCUAUAAUGCAAGUCGAACGCUUCUUUUUCCACCGGAGCUUGCUCCACCGGAAAAAGAGGAGUGGCGAACGGGUGAGUAACACGUGGGUAACCUGCCCAUCAGAAGGGGAUAACACUUGGAAACAGGUGCUAAUACCGUAUAACAAUCGAAACCGCAUGGUUUUGAUUUGAAAGGCGCUUUCGGGUGUCGCUGAUGGAUGGACCCGCGGUGCAUUAGCUAGUUGGUGAGGUAACGGCUCACCAAGGCCACGAUGCAUAGCCGACCUGAGAGGGUGAUCGGCCACAUUGGGACUGAGACACGGCCCAAACUCCUACGGGAGGCAGCAGUAGGGAAUCUUCGGCAAUGGACGAAAGUCUGACCGAGCAACGCCGCGUGAGUGAAGAAGGUUUUCGGAUCGUAAAACUCUGUUGUUAGAGAAGAACAAGGAUGAGAGUAACUGUUCAUCCCUUGACGGUAUCUAACCAGAAAGCCACGGCUAACUACGUGCCAGCAGCCGCGGUAAUACGUAGGUGGCAAGCGUUGUCCGGAUUUAUUGGGCGUAAAGCGAGCGCAGGCGGUUUCUUAAGUCUGAUGUGAAAGCCCCCGGCUCAACCGGGGAGGGUCAUUGGAAACUGGGAGACUUGAGUGCAGAAGAGGAGAGUGGAAUUCCAUGUGUAGCGGUGAAAUGCGUAGAUAUAUGGAGGAACACCAGUGGCGAAGGCGGCUCUCUGGUCUGUAACUGACGCUGAGGCUCGAAAGCGUGGGGAGCAAACAGGAUUAGAUACCCUGGUAGUCCACGCCGUAAACGAUGAGUGCUAAGUGUUGGAGGGUUUCCGCCCUUCAGUGCUGCAGCUAACGCAUUAAGCACUCCGCCUGGGGAGUACGACCGCAAGGUUGAAACUCAAAGGAAUUGACGGGGGCCCGCACAAGCGGUGGAGCAUGUGGUUUAAUUCGAAGCAACGCGAAGAACCUUACCAGGUCUUGACAUCCUUUGACCACUCUAGAGAUAGAGCUUCCCCUUCGGGGGCAAAGUGACAGGUGG
RNAcentral lists this ribosomal RNA (1036 nucleotides) under Enterococcus faecium. Its description in RNAcentral is "bacterial SSU rRNA". It matches the Rfam family "Bacterial small subunit ribosomal RNA", at positions 30 to 1041 of the family's 1533-position model. Lineage: Bacteria; Bacillati; Bacillota; Bacilli; Lactobacillales; Enterococcaceae. The record is from RNAcentral.